UAGGGAAUAUUGGUAAUCUGGGAAACCGGGAACCAGCAACGCCGCGUGUGCGAUGAAGGCCUUCGGGUUGUAAAGCACUUUUUGAGGGGAUGAAAAAGGACAGUACCCUCAGAAUAAGUCUCGGCUAACUACGUGCCAGCAGCCGCGGUAAGACGUAGGAGACGAGCGUUAUUCGGAUUUACUGGGCGUAAAGCGCGUGCAGGCGGUUUGGUAAGUUGGAUGUGAAAGCUCCCGGCUCAACUGGGAGAGGUCGUUCAAAACUGCCAGACUAGAGAAUAGGAGAGGGAGGUGGAAUUCCGGGUGUAGUGGUGAAAUGCGUAGAUAUCCGGAGGAACACCAGUGGCGAAGGCGACCUCCUGGCCUAUUUCUGACGCUCAGACGCGAAAGCUAGGGUAGCAAACGG
Molecule: ribosomal RNA, 403 nt
Filed under: uncultured bacterium
Lineage: Bacteria
Description: bacterial SSU rRNA
Rfam family: Bacterial small subunit ribosomal RNA
Source: RNAcentral